This 492-nucleotide ribosomal RNA is filed under the name uncultured bacterium. Its description in RNAcentral is "partial 16S ribosomal RNA". It matches the Rfam family "Bacterial small subunit ribosomal RNA", at positions 29 to 507 of the family's 1533-position model. The record is from RNAcentral.
AGUGAACGCUGGCGGUAGGCCUAACACAUACAAGUCGAACGGCAGCACAGUAAGAGCUUGCUCUUACGGGUGGCGAGUGGCGGACGGGUGAGGAAUACAUCGGAAUCUACUUUUUCGUGGGGGAUAACGUAGGGAAACUUACGCUAAUACCGCAUACGACCUACGGGUGAAAGCAGGGGAUCUUCGGACCUUGCGCGAUUGAAUGAGCCGAUGUCGGAUUAGCUAGUUGGCGGGGUAAAGGCCCACCAAGGCGACGAUCCGUAGCUGGUCUGAGAGGAUGAUCAGCCACACUGGAACUGAGACACGGUCCAGACUCCUACGGGAGGCAGCAGUGGGGAAUAUUGGACAAUGGGCGCAAGCCUGAUCCAGCCAUACCGCGUGGGUGAAGAAGGCCUUCGGGUUGUAAAGCCCUUUUGUUGGAAAAGAAAAGCAGCAGGUUAAUACCCCGCUGUUCUGACGGUACCCAAAGAAUAAGCACCGGCUAACUUCGUG